AUGUUUAGAGGUUUUGCUGACUUGAUGGAUGGCCGUGAUAGAAGCCGAGCUAUGUACACUCGGCCUGAACCAAAUCCCAACUUCAACUCUCCUCUUCCCAUUCAACCACCAGCAGGUUGCUUUCUCAAUGGAGACAAUCAAAAGCUACUUGGUGUUACCAAUAACACCAACAUCAAGUUAAAGGGUGAUGGUAAUGGAGCAUUUACGCUUGGUGACUUCAAAUAA
Molecule: non-coding RNA, 225 nt
Organism: Vicia faba (fava bean)
Lineage: Eukaryota; Viridiplantae; Streptophyta; Magnoliopsida; Fabales; Fabaceae
Source: the annotation of a GenBank genome assembly